GUCCCCAUAGCUCAACGGAUAAAGCACUGGUCUUCGGAACCAGGGAUAGGGGUUCAAUUCCUCUUGGGGACG
This 72-nucleotide transfer RNA is filed under the name Candidatus Roizmanbacteria bacterium RIFCSPHIGHO2_02_FULL_38_11. RNAcentral's name for it is "tRNA-Arg". It matches the Rfam family "tRNA". From Rfam's summary of the family: Transfer RNA (tRNA) molecules are approximately 80 nucleotides in length. Their secondary structure includes four short double-helical elements and three loops (D, anti-codon, and T loops). Further hydrogen bonds mediate the characteristic L-shaped molecular structure. tRNAs have two regions of fundamental functional importance: the anti-codon, which is responsible for specific mRNA codon recognition, and the 3' end, to which the tRNAs corresponding amino acid is attached (by aminoacyl-tRNA synthetases). tRNAs cope with the degeneracy of the genetic code in two manners: having more than one tRNA (with a specific anti-codon) for a particular amino acid; and 'wobble' base-pairing, i.e. permitting non-standard base-pairing at the 3rd anti-codon position. The record is from RNAcentral. Lineage: Bacteria; Candidatus Roizmaniibacteriota. RNAcentral also lists the same sequence under 1 other name.